GAUGAACGCUGGCGGCGUGCCUAAUACAUGCAAGUCGAGCGAACAGACGAAGAUCUUGGUCCUCUUACGUUACCGACGGACGGGUGAGUAACACGUAGAUUACCUUUCUAUAAGACUUGGGUAAGUUCGGGAAACCGUAGUAAAGACCGGGAACGAUAUUGGACCGGAGGGUUCUAGAGUGAAAUACGGUUUUUCUGUCAACUCUAGAUCGAUCCGCUCGGCAUUAGGUUGUUGGUAAGGUAACGGGUUGACAAGGAAACGAUUGGUAGCCGACCUGAGAGGAUGAUAGCCGACACUGGAACUGAGCCACGGACAAGACUACUACGAGACGCAGCAGUCGCGUAUCGUCCGCAGUGGGCGAGAGCAUGACGGAGCAACGCAGAGUGAGUUAUAACGGUCUUCCGAUAGUAAUACUCUGUUAUUAGGGAAGAACCAAUGUGUAAGUAACUAUGCACGUCUUGACGGUACCUAAUGAGAAAGCAACGGCUAACUACGUG
This 497-nucleotide ribosomal RNA is filed under the name uncultured bacterium. RNAcentral describes it as "partial 16S ribosomal RNA". It matches the Rfam family "Bacterial small subunit ribosomal RNA", at positions 28 to 507 of the family's 1533-position model. The record is from RNAcentral.